Molecule: ribosomal RNA, 773 nt
Filed under: uncultured bacterium
Lineage: Bacteria
Description: bacterial SSU rRNA
Rfam family: Bacterial small subunit ribosomal RNA
Source: RNAcentral
AGAGUUUGAUCAUGGCUCAGGACGAACGCUGGCGGCGUGCUUAACACAUGCAAGUCGAACGGAAAGGCCCUUCGGGGUACUCGAGUGGCGAACGGGUGAGUAACACGUGGGUGAUCUGCCCUGCACUUUGGGAUAAGCCUGGGAAACUGGGUCUAAUACCGAAUAUGACCACGCUCUUCAUGGGGUGUGGUGGAAAGCUUUUGCGGUGUGGGAUGGGCCCGCGGCCUAUCAGCUUGUUGGUGGGGUAAUGGCCUACCAAGGCGACGACGGGUAGCCGGCCUGAGAGGGUGACCGGCCACACUGGGACUGAGAUACGGCCCAGACUCCUACGGGAGGCAGCAGUGGGGAAUAUUGCACAAUGGGCGCAAGCCUGAUGCAGCGACGCCGCGUGAGGGAUGACGGCCUUCGGGUUGUAAACCUCUUUCACCAGGGACGAAGCGCAAGUGACGGUACCUGGAGAAGAAGCACCGGCCAACUACGUGCCAGCAGCCGCGGUAAUACGUAGGGUGCGAGCGUUGUCCGGAAUUACUGGGCGUAAAGAGCUCGUAGGUGGUUUGUCGCGUUGUUCGUGAAAACUCACAGCUUAACUGUGGGCGUGCGGGCGAUACGGGCAGACUAGAGUACUGCAGGGGAGACUGGAAUUCCUGGUGUAGUGGUGGAAUGCGCAGAUAUCAGGAGGAACACCGGUGGCGAAGGCGGGUCUCUGGGCAGUAACUGACGCUGAGGAGCGAAAGCGUGGGGAGCGAACAGGAUUAGAUACCCUGGUAGUCCAA